Molecule: unclassified non-coding RNA, 302 nt
Filed under: Hevea brasiliensis (rubber tree)
Lineage: Eukaryota; Viridiplantae; Streptophyta; Magnoliopsida; Malpighiales; Euphorbiaceae
Source: RNAcentral
UGAACAGCAUCCAUUAUGACAUCCCACAAAAUGCGAACAACCUCGAUAUCAGGUAAAUUGGCAUCUCUCAUUCGGUGUUUCACAGUUUCUAUAACUUCAGCAAUGUCAGUUUCCUCGGCUAUUUGGGUUGUUAAAGCAGAUUUCAUUUCACUUAGCUUCACAUCGAACAUUUUUUUUGCAUUGUAUUCUACCAAGGGUACCAGACCUUCCUUUGUGAAAUGCUCAGAAAAGCCCUCAGCAGAUCGCUUAGACGAGGGAAAGAACUCCAGAAGAUUGUCUUCCACUUUGCCCCUCUUCAGGAU